RNAcentral lists this non-coding RNA (31 nucleotides) under Rattus norvegicus (Norway rat). The record is from RNAcentral. Lineage: Eukaryota; Metazoa; Chordata; Mammalia; Rodentia; Muridae.
UAAGCAACUCUCUUUACUCUCAUACUUAAAU